RNAcentral lists this long non-coding RNA (2834 nucleotides) under Hordeum vulgare. RNAcentral's name for it is "long non-coding RNA (HVUL_LNC020107)". The record is from RNAcentral. Lineage: Eukaryota; Viridiplantae; Streptophyta; Magnoliopsida; Poales; Poaceae.
CCUAGUACAAAAGGAUGGUUACAAGCAAUUAGCUUCUGCAGGUCCAUUUCAUUGACAAUAUACCCACACAAGAAGAGGGUACACCAGCACCAUACAAGCACCAUCCAUACAUCAAAUAUGCAAGAAGUGAGGGUCUAGGAGCACUUGCAUAUUACUAGUGUUAGGAAGACCAAGGAGAAACAUAUGUAUUGACCUGCUAAUGAUUUGCAAAGCCAAGCGAUAAUACUGAUAAUGAUUUAAAAGCAGAUGACUAAUUCCAGUAUUUUGCAGAAGACUACAGAAAAUGUAACAACAGAUUCCUUCUGAUGUAAAACUAAUUAAGUAGUCGAGUUCUCCAUUUGUGAAGCCAACAUAAAUCAUGACAGAACAAUCAGUUCAUGGCACAAUAUAUCUGUUAUUGAUCAUAGACACCAUCUUAGCAGCAAGUUACAAUAUCAGACGAUGUACAUCACUAUAUAUACCACUAUAUAGUGCCUAAUGUCAAUCCAUACAAGCAGUACAUGAGGCAUAGACAACCUGGAGUGCCGAAAAGGACACACACCAGAUCUACUCCCUCCGUUCCUAAAUAUAAGUCCUUUUUAGAGAUUCCACUAGAAGACUACAUGAUGUAUAUAGACGUCUUUUAGAGUAUAGGUUCAUUCAUUUUGCUCCGUAUCUAGUCUAUAGUGGAAUCUCUAGAAAGACUUAUAUUUAGGAAUGAAGGGAGUAUGUCUUAUGAAGAAGAUUUUUCUGUUUCAGGCAUGACUCCCUCCUUUGGUGCUACCGAGCUUGGAUAGUAGGUAGAGGCAACCUGAAGAGAGGAAGAUAGAUCCAGCGAAGCAGAAGAGGUCAGUACACGACGUGAUGGUCACCCUCUUGCUCUUCUCGGAGAUGCCAACCAGCAGAACCAGGACGAUUACAUGACCCAGCUUUGUCUUGAGGUCACUCACCGAGCGGAUUUCCAGCCACUUGGGCCGUUCCUGUCGAUGGAAUCAGAGAUAUAAGAACACUGAAUAAACCACAUUACAUCUAUGAGAACUGGGAGGAGACCAACCGGAAGCUUGAACAAGCCAAAGAGGCUGGAGCGGUCAUGGGACUGUUUUGCAAUGUCCAUGUUACUGAUGAACAGCUCGUACAGGCCCGUCCCGAAGACAAACAUGACGGUGCCGAUGAGAUACAUAUCUGAGGUGAGACAAGUAAUGCACAAUGGUCAGGCAUCACAACUACUCAUGUCAACUGACGGCAGGUAUGUAGUGAUAAUGCAAAACUGGCGACAAUUGUGCCGACAUCUAAAACCUAUGCUAAUGGUGAAUUUGAUGGCACUGAUGAGGUUGAAUCAGUUUGUUACCAAUGGCUUCAAUCAGCAUGAGCACGACCUUCCCAUCCCCGCGCAAGUAGUACUCCACGAAGGCGUCCAUCACAAAAGUGCAGCCCUGGUAACCAACCAAGUGCACGGGUUAAAAUCAGAUCGGGAGACACGGAGAUGAACUUGGCGGGCUGAUGAAUCAAGCAGGGAAAGCACCUUGAGGAAGCAGAGGACGGAUCCGGCGAGAGAUCCGGCGAUGGCGAGGAAGGCCAUGAAGCGGCAGGCGUAGAUGACCUUCUCGAUGCCCGCCUCCAGGUCCGACCCGAAUCCCUCGCGGGGCAGACCGAAUGGGCGGAACCGCACGCCGUGGUGCGGCUCGGCGUGCACGGCGCUCGCCGCGGCGGCCGCGUGGGGGCUAGGCGUCCCCCUGACCCUCACGCGCUGCCCCGGCCGCGCCCUCGGCCUCGGCCUCCACGCCCAGCCGCCGCGGCACCCCGCGCCCACCGAAGCCUCGGCCGCGGCCGCCGACGCCACACCGGAACCGAAGGGUCUGGGCCUCAUCAUCGCCGCCGCUCCGAUUCAGCCCUUCAGCGGCGCGGAGCUGGUGGCUAAGUAGGCAACGGCGAGCGAUGGAGCGCCACAAGUGGGGCGCCACGUUCUGCGCACCGUGUCGGGUGCGGACGCGGAGGGCGACGGCGACGGCGACCUCGUCGGGUUGCGGGCCGACGAGUCCACGUUGGCGGGGGAGGAGGAGAGUACCUCCCCCUUUCCCGCGCCGUGCAUCCCGUCCGAACGGUUGGUGAAACGGACGGAGAUACUUCCGCGCUCGGGGCGAUGAUCUGGCGGCCUCGUGUCGUCGUCGUCUUCCCCGGCGAGCCUCGGCCACUCCUUUCCGCGGACUCUCUCUCGUCGGCGCCACAGCCCGUGCACGGCUCGCGUCGUCACUCGCGAGUUUUUUUUUUUUUUGUAUGUGUGUGUGUAAGCCUCUGACUGGUUGGUUUGUUGGGCCACGCCAGCGGGCCAAAUUGUAACGUCGCAAUUUGAUGAGGCUUUGUUCAGUGCACUUAUUUUUACUGGAUGAUGCAUCGGGGCGGUGCUACGGAAACUUGCUAAAAACAUCUAUAUAACUUAUAAAAAAUGAAUGUAAGCUUAUAAAUAAAAAUGAAAUAUAAAGAGUAUAAAAAUAAAAAAGAAAAUGCAGUUAAAAGAAUGUCAUUUUUAAUAAAAAUGUGAAUGUGAACUACAGAUGUAUGGUACAUAUGACCAACACAUAUAUUGCCAAUACAAAAUCUUAUGCAAAAAGUAACAUGCAUGAAUUAAUGAUUUGAUGCUUACAUGUAUAGAGUAAUGAAAAAAAAUGUAAUUUAUGACUUACAUGCAUUAGUUGUUCAUGUGACAUACUCCCUCCGUACCUAAAUAUAAGUCUUUUAAGAUAUUUCACUACGUGUCUACAUACGGAGCAAAAUGAAUGAAUCUAUACUUUAAAGUAUGUCUAUAUACAUCCGUAUGUAGUUCAUUAGUUGAACCUCUAGAAAGACUUAUAUUUAGG